RNAcentral lists this ribosomal RNA (532 nucleotides) under Coxiella burnetii. RNAcentral's name for it is "bacterial SSU rRNA". It matches the Rfam family "Bacterial small subunit ribosomal RNA", at positions 863 to 1394 of the family's 1533-position model. Lineage: Bacteria; Pseudomonadati; Pseudomonadota; Gammaproteobacteria; Legionellales; Coxiellaceae. The record is from RNAcentral.
AGUUCUCCGCCUGGGGAGUACGGCCGCAAGGUUAAAACUCAAAGAAAUUGACGGGGGCCCGCACAAGCGGUGGAGCAUGUGGUUUAAUUCGAUGCAACGCGAAAAACCUUACCUACCCUUGACAUCCUCGGAACUUGUCAGAGAUGAUUUGGUGCCUUCGGGAACCGAGUGACAGGUGCUGCAUGGCUGUCGUCAGCUCGUGUCGUGAGAUGUUGGGUUAAGUCCCGUAACGAGCGCAACCCUCGUCCUUAGUUGCCAGCGAGUCAAGUCGGGAACUCUAAGGAGACUGCCGGUGAUAAACCGGAGGAAGGUGGGGAUGAUGUCAAGUCAUCAUGGCCCUUACGGGUAGGGCUACACACGUGCUACAAUGGGCAGUACAAAGGGUUGCCAAGCCGCGAGGUGGAGCUAAUCCCAGAAAACUGCUCGUAGUCCGGAUUGGAGUCUGCAACUCGACUCCAUGAAGUUGGAAUCGCUAGUAAUCGCGAAUCAGCAUGUCGCGGUGAAUACGUUCUCGGGCCUUGUACACACCGCC